RNAcentral lists this ribosomal RNA (500 nucleotides) under uncultured bacterium. RNAcentral's name for it is "partial 16S ribosomal RNA". It matches the Rfam family "Bacterial small subunit ribosomal RNA", at positions 30 to 523 of the family's 1533-position model. The record is from RNAcentral.
AUUGAACGCUGGCGGCAGGCCUAACACAUGCAAGUCGAGCGGAUGAGGGGUGCUUGCACUCCGAUUCAGCGGCGGACGGGUGAGUAAUGCCUAGGAAUCUGCCUGGUAGUGGGGGACAACGUUUCGAAAGGAACGCUAAUACCGCAUACGUCCUACGGGAGAAAGUGGGGGAUCUUCGGACCUCACGCUAUCAGAUGAGCCUAGGUCGGAUUAGCUAGUUGGUGAGGUAAAGGCUCACCAAGGCGACGAUCCGUAACUGGUCUGAGAGGAUGAUCAGUCACACUGGAACUGAGACACGGUCCAGACUCCUACGGGAGGCAGCAGUGGGGAAUAUUGGACAAUGGGCGAAAGCCUGAUCCAGCCAUGCCGCGUGUGUGAAGAAGGUCUUCGGAUUGUAAAGCACUUUAAGUUGGGAGGAAGGGCUGUAGGCUAAUAUCCUGCAGUUUUGACGUUACCGACAGAAUAAGCACCGGCUAACUUCGUGCCAGCAGCCGCAGUAA